RNAcentral lists this non-coding RNA (327 nucleotides) under Perkinsus marinus ATCC 50983. RNAcentral's name for it is "Eukaryotic small subunit ribosomal RNA". It matches the Rfam family "Eukaryotic small subunit ribosomal RNA", at positions 1 to 340 of the family's 1831-position model. The record is from Rfam by way of RNAcentral. Lineage: Eukaryota; Perkinsozoa; Perkinsida; Perkinsidae.
CACCUGGUUGAUCCUGCCAGUAGUCAUAUGCUUGUCUCAAAGAUUAAGCCAUGCAUGUCUAAGUAUAAGCUUUAAACGGCGAAACUGCGAAUGGCUCAUUAAAACAGUUAUAGUUUAUUUGGUGAUCGAUUACUAUUUGGAUAACCGUAGUAAUUCUAGAGCUAAUACAUGCGUCAAGGCCCGACUUCGGAAGGGCUGCGUUUAUUAGGUUCGGGUUUCGGGUUUCGGGUUUCGGGUUUCGGGUUUCGGGUUUCGGGUUUCGGGUUUCGGGUUUCGGGUUUCGGGUUUCGGGUUUCGGGUUUCGGGUUUCGGGUUUCGGGUUUCGGG